This 497-nucleotide ribosomal RNA is filed under the name uncultured bacterium. RNAcentral describes it as "partial 16S ribosomal RNA". It matches the Rfam family "Bacterial small subunit ribosomal RNA", at positions 28 to 507 of the family's 1533-position model. The record is from RNAcentral.
GAUGAACGCUGGCGGCGUGCCUAAUACAUGCAAGUCGAGCGAACAGACGAGAAGCGGGCUACUCUGAUGUAAGCGGCGGAAGGGUGAGGAACACGUGGAUAACCUACCUAUAAGACAGGGAUAACUUCGGGAAACCGAAGCUAAUAACGGAGAACAUUUUGAACCGCAGGGUUCAAAAGUGAAAGAGGGUCUUGAUGUCACUUAGAGAUGGAACCGCGCUGCAUGAGCUAGGUGGUAAGAUAACGGCGUACCAAGGCAACGAUGCAAAGCCGACCUGAGAGGGUGAUCAGCCACACUGGAACUGAGCCCCCGUCCAGACUCCUACGGGAGGCAGCAGUAGGUACCAUUCAGAACAGUGCGAAAUCCUGCAGAAGCAACGCCGCGUGCGUGGUUGAGGUCUGCGUCCCGUAAAACGCUGUUAUUAGGGCAGACCAUAUCUGUAAGAAACUGUGCACUUUUUGACGGUACCUAAUCAGAAAGCGCCGGCUAACUACGUG